This 492-nucleotide ribosomal RNA is filed under the name uncultured bacterium. RNAcentral's name for it is "partial 16S ribosomal RNA". It matches the Rfam family "Bacterial small subunit ribosomal RNA", at positions 29 to 507 of the family's 1533-position model. The record is from RNAcentral.
AGUGAACGCUGGCGGUAGGCCUAACACAUGCAAGUCGAACGGCAGCACAGUAAGAGCUUGCUCUUACGGGUGGCGAGUGGCGGACGGGUGAGGAAUACAUCGGAAUCUACUUUUUCGGGGGGGAUAACGUAGGGAAACUUACGCUAAUACCGCAUACGACCUACGGGUGAAAGCAGGGGAUCUUCGGACCUUGCGCGACUGAAUGAGCCGAUGUCGGAUUAGCUAGUUGGCGGGGUAAAGGCCCACCAAGGCAACGAUCCGUAGCUGGUCUGAGAGGAUGAUCAGCCACACUGGAACUGAGACACGGUCCAGACUCCUACGGGAGGCAGCAGUAGGGAAUAUUGGACAAUGGGCGCAAGCCUGACCCAGCCACACCGCGUGAGUGAAGAAGGCCUUCGGGUCGUAAAGCCCUGUUGUUGGGAAAGAAAAGCAGCAGGUUAAUCCCCCGCUGUUCUGACGGUACCCAAAGAAUAAGCACCGGCUAACUUCGUG